Molecule: long non-coding RNA, 486 nt
Filed under: Capra hircus (goat)
Lineage: Eukaryota; Metazoa; Chordata; Mammalia; Artiodactyla; Bovidae
Description: lncRNA (ENSCHIG00010014380.1)
Source: RNAcentral
AAAAGGAAAAUAACAUUUUUCCCUAAGACUCAAGGAAGAUGCUCCAGCCCUCCAUCAACACCCAAAGCUGAACUCUACUUCAACGAUUCCCUGAACAACUUGCUUAUGGAACAUUUUACACUAUCUUUAAGUACUGUCUUUACUACGAUAAAGAUUUCCGACGCCGGCCCCUGGUUUGGGUCCACCGCUCGCCUCAUUCUUGCCUUCCCUAUCCCACCUCGAGGAGCACUGCUUUCUUUAUUAGAUGGAUCCGCAGCCGGGAGAAGUCAGGCUAGACUACCCGGGAUACCGCUGCAGGGGGCGGGGCCAGAGCACAUCCGAGAAGGAGAGAUGCUGCUGCUAGAGAGACUCGGCAGCGGUCUGGUGACGUACUUCCGGCCGCGCCGCGGAGCGGCCAGCUUCGGAGAUUUAGUAGCCGAUUACGUUCCGUCGGAUAGAAGGCGAAGCCUGGGUUAUUGUCACAACCGCGAAGCCGCGAGCAGUUAG